This 645-nucleotide ribosomal RNA is filed under the name Salmonella enterica subsp. enterica serovar Agona. RNAcentral's name for it is "partial 23S ribosomal RNA". It matches the Rfam family "Bacterial large subunit ribosomal RNA", at positions 566 to 1190 of the family's 2925-position model. Lineage: Bacteria; Pseudomonadati; Pseudomonadota; Gammaproteobacteria; Enterobacterales; Enterobacteriaceae. The record is from RNAcentral. RNAcentral also lists the same sequence under 1 other name.
GUUUGCGACGCCCAACACACAAAACAAGCGGUGAGUGCUUUGGGGUGGGGUGACUGCGUACCUUUUGUAUAAUGGGUCAGCGACUUAUAUUCUGUAGCAAGGUUAACCGCAUAGGGGAGCCGGAGGGAAACCGAGUCUUAAUUGGGCGUUAAGUUGCAGGGUAUAGACCCGAAACCCGGUGAUCUAGCCAUGGGCAGGUUGAAGGUUGGGUAACACUAACUGGAGGACCGAACCGACUAAUGUUGAAAAAUUAGCGGAUGACCUGUGGCUGGGGGUGAAAGGCCAAUCAAACCGGGAGAUAGCUGGUUCUCCCCGAAAGCUAUUUAGGUAGCGCCUCGUGAAUUCAUCUCCGGGGGUAGAGCACUGUUUCGGCUAGGGGGCCAUCCCGGCUUACCAACCCGAUGCAAACUGCGAAUACCGGAGAAUGUUAUCACGGGAGACACACGGCGGGUGCUAACGUCCGUCGUGAAGAGGGAAACAACCCAGACCGCCAGCUAAGGUCCCAAAGUCAUGGUUAAGUGGGAAACGAUGUGGGAAGGCCCAGACAGCCAGGAUGUUGGCUUAGAAGCAGCCAUCAUUUAAAGAAAGCGUAAUAGCUCACUGGUCGAGUCGGCCUGCGCGGAAGAUGUAACGGGGCUAAACCAU